UGGGGAAUCUUGGACAAUGGGCGCAAGCCUGAUCCAGCCAUGCCGCGUGAGUGAAGAAGGCCUUAGGGUUGUAAAGCUCUUUUACCAGGGACGAUAAUGACGGUACCUGGAGAAUAAGCCCCGGCAAACUUCGUGCCAGCAGCCGCGGUAAUACGAAGGGGGCUAGCGUUGUUCGGAAUUACUGGGCGUAAAGCGCACGUAGGCGGGUCGUUAAGUCAGGGGUGAAAUCCCGGAGCUCAACUCCGGAACUGCCUUUGAUACUGGCGAUCUAGAGGUCGAGAGAGGUGAGUGGAAUUCCGAGUGUAGAGGUGAAAUUCGUAGAUAUUCGGAAGAACACCAGUGGCGAAGGCGGCUCACUGGCUCGAUACUGACGCUGAGGUGCGAAAGCGUGGGGAGCAAACAGGAUUAGAUACCCGAGUAGUCCCUGAGCGGGCUGGCAAGGCGCAU
Molecule: ribosomal RNA, 447 nt
Filed under: uncultured bacterium
Lineage: Bacteria
Description: bacterial SSU rRNA
Rfam family: Bacterial small subunit ribosomal RNA
Source: RNAcentral